CUUUCUCUCAAUAUACAGCCCAGGUUGUCCUUGAACACUCAGUCCUUCUUUUCUGCCUCCCAAGUGCUGGGAUUACCAAGUGCAUGCAUCACCUCACCUGACCUAAGGAGAGCUUUGAUUUCACGCACCCAUCAGUCCUAGAUGUCUCACAAGCAGCAACAUUUUCUCCACAUCAUUGUUCUGUGCACCACAUUGAAGGGACAUGAUUAUUUCAAGUGAGAGUGUCUUUCCCUCUGCUUUUUCCUCCAGGUACAACAGACUAGCAAGAGAGUGGACACAGAAAUAUGCUAUAACCAGGUCCUGAGGAGUCUGAAAACAUCUUGGAGGCUCCUGAAAGUUGGAACACCCCUGGAAAGCAGAGGCCUCUUUCUGCACUUGUGCUGACUUCCACCCUCUGCAGCACUGCACACUGCUCUUCUCACCUCACAACAAGAAACAGCCAGUGGCAGAUGUCAGGAUAUAAAGCACAGAACAUCUCAGGAGAGAUGACUUCUUUUUCAGAAGCAAGAGUAGAAGUAUGGAGCCUGGAAAGUUUUGGAUUCUGCUUUUCUGUAUGAGGUUUCUCUCAACCCCACCUCCUCCCACCAGGAGCCUACUUGAAAUCCUAGUAGAAGCCAUUCACAGACUAGAACACAAGGGACUAAAUGUAAAUAAAAAAGAGAUCUCCCAUAACUCUAAAUGGUAAUA
Long non-coding RNA from Perognathus longimembris pacificus (Pacific pocket mouse), 687 nucleotides. RefSeq lists it as uncharacterized. NCBI's taxonomy places the organism in Eukaryota, Metazoa, Chordata, Mammalia, Rodentia, Heteromyidae. The transcript is spliced from 2 exons. The record is from RefSeq and is a predicted model, not a curated record.